CCGAACCUUUGAAGAACAUACCAGUGAACGAGCUGCGACUAACGACUUUCUAUAACGUCCCGAACCUCCCGAAAUUUUGACCAGUGCACGAGCUGCGACUAACCACCUUCUCUCCCGCACCGAGACUCCAGACUAUAAAGAGGUUCAUGUGACACUUUCGCACGGACGACAAACAUGGAAGAACUGGACGCUGCCUUACCUCACGUUGUUCCUACUCCGGGAAUCCCGCUUCGUUUAACGUCUCUCCUUCAAACUUAGGUUCCUGGACGUCCCACGGUUCUUUAAGCGUGAGUUCCGGUUCAGAGAGAAAGGCCUAGAACUCCCGUAAUACGUCUACUAGUAGUGGAAACUACAAAUGGAAUGUAGUCUUGACUUCCAACGACCACUCUUACUGAUAAUGAGAUAGGAGAGACACCUGUGCAGUCGUCUACUACUUUGACACUUCUUCGUCAUGUCCUUCUACCGUGAAGAUGAGGUAGGACUGUUCUUGUUUAGUCACCCGCGACUCCCACGAAAGGUCAACCAAUUUCUCCGUACCUGACACAAUAGACUAUUUUGGUUCUCUGACAACAUACUAGUCUUUUCCUUUCAUCAACAUGAUGUUGUCUUCUGUCGGGUUAGUUUAUCCUGUUCACGUUGAGUUCCACGUUGGUUACCGAAGCUCUUAAAGCGUCGGUUUAGUGGACGAAAGUUCGGUUCUCGUUUGUUCGGUUUCUGUCCCGGUUGUUGUAGACGUCGCGCGGUCGCGGGCGGGGGUGGGGGUGUCGCGGGCGGAGGAGUAGUAGUCCGAGGUGGAGGUCGUUACUUCCUGUGUAAAACCUGGAGUACGUUGUUUACGUUCUACUUAAAACUUAUAGAGUCUCACAUAUAUUUAGUAUGAGAAGAGACGGGAUCGACGGCGCUGGGUAAGGAACGUUUUCUCCAUGGCCACGGUGGUUGACUCCUACAAGUACGUCAUGCCCCGAGUUUGUAGUCACCACGUGGAGUUCUACGUUCGUGACCCUCUUUAAAAGUCACCCCAGGUAAGAGUUCCCGUCGACCACGUCGGUCACGAUGACGUAGCAGUAGACGACGCCGAGUUCGACGAUUAUACCAAGUAGUCUGUAUACUCUUUCAAUUCUCUCUGUCCCUCCUCCGUGUCCGUCAUCGUUCUUCCCUUCUUCGAAAAGUCUCCUUCGUGUUAGGAGAUUUUUCCGUUCGUCUACACAGUUGCUUGGUACCUUACCCGCUAUGACGUAAACCUUUCUUCUACUCUUGACUACGACCUCAACCAAGUAGGUAAGGGAGUCCAGGUACCCGGGUUAAACGAUCUUACGGUCAACCUUGAUAUGGUAAAAGUUGGUUGUCACGGAAACUCAAAGUCUAACAAUUACCACACGGGUGAACCUUCGGGUCCGGACAAUGAGCCGAGUCGCAUUGAUUCUAAAAGAGAUUCAGUCUAGAAUUCUCUUAAAACUAACUGUUCUACUUCUCGCUAAACUUCCUCUUCGAUUCACUCUAUGCUUCAUCCGGUUAGGUUCAAUGGCAACUACCAGGUCGCUCGUUCUUUAUACAACUCCAAUCGUUUCGUUGUCAACUAAGAUGACGUUUCUUUCUACAAACACACCUAGGUCUCCUCUUACCAAGACGAUUAUCGUUACCAAGACGACUAUCGUGUCGACGACCUUUACUUCUGCUCCUGGGAUACAGAAUAUGACAAGGACUAGGACUAAAGGUACUAAAACUAUUCCUAGCAUGGCUCCUUACAAAAGUCUCACUAGUUUAAACCCGAAGUAUGCUGCUACUACUACCGUACGGAGCAAAGAUGUGUAAAUAGGUCUUUCAAUAGAGGAACUUGGGCAAAUUCCAGUUUUAUUCAAUGGAGCUCAGCUUCUGCUUAUCACUUAAACCUGGUAACUCAACCCAAAGAAGACCGAAACGUUUCUGCACACCACUAAAGUCCUAACGGUUUGUACUUUAGACACUGCACCAGUUGUACAAGAGAGUGGUCUAAUUUACCCUCUUUCCGGGUGCACCCCACCAGUUUCAAAUGGGUGCCCUUCCGCUAUAGACCCGAAACAUGGCUUUGACCAGGGGACUUACCCUACCUCUAUGAGGUCUGUUACACGACGUACAGAUACUAGACCAACUCCAUGACCUACUAAUACUGCUUCUAGUACCUUAGAGACAUUAAGGGAACCAAUUCCAAUGACCUAAAGCCUGUCAAAAAGUCGCAGUGGUCUUGUUCUUGCAGUAGUUCUCCUAAGGUUUUCUCCUCUACAAAGCCAAAAGUGUAGUCCAGGGGAAGAUAUCCAACAGUCCCCUUCUUCGAGGUUUGCAGGGGUUUCUAUCGAUACUCCAUCUGGGUCGACGUUAAGGCUUCCUUGAAGAAGUCCCCUAGUGUCUUUGUCGCCUCCUCCGUCUUCCUUGAAGAUUUAGGUCAACUCUACCAACUACGACGCUGAGGCAAUAUGAAAACAACUGGACGGGCGGCAAAACGUAGUCUGAAAACAACCGUGAUCGAUCAAAGAUAUCGUAAAGGAUCGAAGAUAUGAAAACUGUCAAUGGAAACGUAUGUUCCCGUCCAGACCCUAAUCGGUAAGGACAGAACAUACGGUACACAGAACCGGCAGAGUAGUUCCUUCGAGUAUUACACUCAUUCGCCGCCAGUAAAACAUACAGUCUUUUUUCAGAGAAUAUAAUAUACACGACAAAAUGGAACAGCUUUUGAACCUUUAUACACGAUAAAAUGGAACAGGUUUUGAACCUUUAUACACGACAAAAUGGAACAGGUUUUGAACCUUUAUACACGACAAAAUGGAACAGGUUUUGUACCGUAACGACUAUAACCAUGACAAAAAGAGAAAACGAACAGACGGUACAACCGGAAAAAUCAAUCUCCUUGAGAAGACAAGGACCGGGUAAUAGGUUUAUAUGUAUACAACAACUAUUAUUAGAUGGUACUCGUUACGUUUGGUAAGUUGUCACAAACAAAGGGUGGCAAACAGAAUAAGGAUAAAUUCGUAUGUUUAGUAGUACGUUCUAUGCUCUUCAAACAAGGCAUUCUACGGUACACCUGGCACCUCACUGCAAAGCUGAGGUCUACCAGAUUAGAAAGGGGAUCUCUAGGCUGGAAACGAUUCGUUACAUCUUUAUAUCAAACAAAUGUAGAGAGAUCAGCAUACUCCUAAUUAACAAACACUAAAAUGGACAAAAUAAUGACGAGUAGUAUUAUGUCGACAAUCUCGAAUGGUAACACCCACCAAGCACACCCACGAGAAUGGGUGGUGUGAGUGAGAAAGUCCGGCAGUGGCCGUUUGAUGUCUCAAGUAGUAAUUG
RNAcentral lists this ribosomal RNA (3318 nucleotides) under Triticum aestivum (bread wheat). Its description in RNAcentral is "partial small subunit ribosomal RNA". The record is from RNAcentral. Lineage: Eukaryota; Viridiplantae; Streptophyta; Magnoliopsida; Poales; Poaceae.